RNAcentral lists this ribosomal RNA (239 nucleotides) under uncultured bacterium. Its description in RNAcentral is "partial 16S ribosomal RNA". It matches the Rfam family "Bacterial small subunit ribosomal RNA", at positions 118 to 347 of the family's 1533-position model. The record is from RNAcentral.
UGAGGAACAUGACUUUCGGUGGGGGAGUAGCCGGCCCAACGGCCGGGUAAUACCGCGUACGCCCUUCGAGCGGCAUCGCUUGAUGGGGAAAGUCGCAAGACGCCGAUGGAGAACUUCGCGGCCUAUCAGCUAGUUGGUGAGGUCAUGGCUCACCAAGGCGACGACGGGUAGCUGGUCCGAGAGGAUGACCAGCCACAGUUGGGACUGGAGACACGGCCCAGACCUCCGUACGGGAGCAG